RNAcentral lists this ribosomal RNA (468 nucleotides) under uncultured bacterium. RNAcentral's name for it is "partial 16S ribosomal RNA". It matches the Rfam family "Bacterial small subunit ribosomal RNA", at positions 28 to 507 of the family's 1533-position model. The record is from RNAcentral.
GACGAACGCUGGCGGCGUGCUUAACACAUGCAAGUCGAACGGAAAGGCCCUGCUUUUGUGGGGUGCUCGAGUGGCGAACGGGUGAGUAACACGUGAGUAACCUGCCCUUGACUUUGGGAUAACUUCAGGAAACUGGGGCUAAUACCGGAUAGGAGCUCCUGCUGCAUGGUGGGGGUUGGAAAGUUUCGGCGGUUGGGGAUGGACACGCGGCUCAUCAGCUUGUUGGUGGGGUAGUGGCUUACCAAGGCUUUGACGGGUAGCCGGCCUGAGAGGGUGACCGGCCACAUUGGGACUGAGAUACGGCCCAGACUCCUACGGGAGGCAGCAGUGGGGAAUAUUGCACAAUGGGCGGAAGCCUGAUGCAGCAACGCCGCGUGCGGGAUGACGGCCUUCGGGUUGUAAACCGCUUUCGCCUGUGACGAAGCGUGAGUGACGGUAAUGGGUAAAGAAGCACCGGCUAACUACGUG